RNAcentral lists this ribosomal RNA (133 nucleotides) under uncultured bacterium. Its description in RNAcentral is "partial 16S ribosomal RNA". The record is from RNAcentral.
GUACCGUCAAUCGAGUGCCCUAUUCGAACACUCGGGAUUCUUUCCCCUCUGACAGUGGUUUACACCCCGAAAGGCUUCCUCCCACACGCGGCGUCGCUGCGUCAGUCUUUCGACCAUUGCGCAAUAUUCCCCA